GCAAUCAAUAAAACAAGGAGUGUACAUAGAACAAUAUCGGAUCUCUGAAAAGUAUAAGCAUGCAUAUGGACUCAGUACUUGUUUUGGGCCCCUUUUGCAGCAAUUACUGCCUCAAUGCAGCGUGGCAUGGAAGCUAUCAGCCUGUGGCACUGCUGAGGUGUUAUGGCGGCCUUCAGCUCUUCUGCAUUGUUCGGUCUCAUCUUUCUCAUGGCAAUGCCCCAUAGAUUCUCUAUGGGGUCCAGGUCAGGUGAGUUUGCUGGCCAAUCAAGUACAGCAAUCCCACGGUCACUGAACCAGGCUUUGGUGCUUUUGGCAGUGUGGGCAGGUGCCAAGUCCUGCUGGAAAAUAAGGUCAGCAUCCCCAUAAAGCCCGCCUGAGGAAGGAAGCAUGAAGUGCUCCAAAAUCUCCGGGUAGACCGCUGCGUUGACCCUGGACUUAAUGAAGCACAGUGGACCAACACCAGCAGAUGACAUGGCUCCCCAAAUCAACACAGACUGUGGAAACUUCACACUGGACUACAAGUAACUUGCAGUGUGUGCCUCUCCAUUCUUCCUCCAGACUCUGGGUCCUUGGUUUCCAAAUGAGAUGCAAAAGUUGCUCUCAUCAGAAAAGAGGACUUUGGACCACUGAGCAACAGACCAGAUUUUUCUUUAGCCCAGGUAAGACGCUUCUGAUGUUGUUUGUUGUUCAGGAGCGGCUUGACAAAAGGAAUACGACAUCUGAAGCCCAUGUCCAGGAUCCGUCUGUGUGGUGGCUCUUGCUGCACUGACUCCAGCCUCAGUCCUCUCCUUGUGAAAGUCCCCAACACUUUUGAAUGGCCUUUUCCUGACAAUCCUCUCCAGGCUGUGGUCAUCCCUGCUGCUUGUGCACCUUUUUCUUCCACACUUUUCCCUUCCACAUAACUUUCUAUUAAUGUGCUUUGAUACAGCACUUUGGGGCAUCCAACUUCCUUCGCAAUUACCUUUUGAGGCUUUCCCUCCUUAUGGAGGGUGUCAAUGAUGGUUUUCUGCACAACUGUUACGUCAGCAGUCUUCCUCAUGAUUGUGAGUCCCACUGAACCAGACUGUGAGACCAUUUAAAGGCUUAGAAACCCUUUGCAGGUAUUAUGGCUUACUUAACUGAUUAGAGUGGGGAACUGUGAGCCUAGAAUAUUGCACUUUUUCACAAUAUUCUAAUUUACUGAGAUCGUGGAUUUGGAGUUUUCAUGAGCUGUAAGCCAUAAUCAUCGAACUUAUGACAAAUCACGGCUUGAACUAUCUUGCUUUGCAUGUAAUGCGUCUAUCUCAUAUAUUAGUUUCCCCUUUUACGUGGCAUUACUGAAAUAAAUUGUCAGAGUAUUUAUAUCGGCAGACAUUUUGUGCUAUGAUAGAAACUAAAAGUGUAUAUUCUGAGUCACUCUGAACAGACCAGACUCCAUUUUGUUAUUCCAAGUUAAAAAAGAGACACAGGAUUUCUUUCUGUAAGACUGGCCUCUUUGCCAGAGCUAAGGAAUGCAUAGCAUAGUAUAAACAAGUGCUAAGAAUAUAAUCAAAUCUAAACCCAGACAAUUGUGACAGAGAAGAUUAAAUAAUAAAAUUUAACUGUCUACAUAUAUAUAAGGUACCAUUGUAUGGAAAAGGGUAAACUUAGUUCAUGAUCUGUCAUAUCAGAAAUUAUGGCAGGAAUUGCAGACGCUAAGUCUGGACAAAAUUUAAGAAACCCUUUGAAAUUUGAAAUUAUAGCCACUAUCUAGAUAGGCCAAAAUGACGUCAAAAUAGCCACCAGGAAAAGUUAACUCUUUCCUGGAUAGGUAUGUUUAGUGGGACAAGACUGCCCUCUAUAGACCAAAUAACUAAUUUGCGAUCUGGAAGAUAACCACACCUCUAGUGCUUCUAUUGGGUUAUCAACUGAUGACGUACAGAGAGUCUGGCCCUUUAAAAGUUAAGACAAAGGGAAGAUAGAAAAGAGGAGGCAGAUGCAAGAUAUGCAAAGGAGAGGAGAGAGGAAUUGGAAGUUUGGGGAUUCCAACUCGGACAACAUCUGAGACUAACACUCUACUCCCAAAACUCUAACACUUAGAAUUUACUGACUUUCACCAACACCUCCAUGCAGAGAGAGACAUCCAAAUAAGUUCCUGAGACUAUCUACCAAUCGGAUGAAAUAUCUACUCAACUGGUAAUUAUACUGGUUUCAUUUAAUUUAUUAAAUUAAUUAAAAUGUAUUAAUAGCAUUAUAUAUGACUGGAUAAAGCACGGUCAGAUUUCCAUAUUAAGAAAUCUUAGUUAACUAAGAAUAUAUAGUUAUAACCAUUCCAUUCUGCAGGUGGAAUUAAGAAUAAUUAUAUAUUGAUGUGAUAUUAUCACGUGUUAGCAUACCGCUGUUUUUAUCCAGGUGUAUUGAUUUGUUCUAAAUUAAGAUAGAUAUCUUUUAGACAAAUUAAAAAUCUGCUUAUAUAAUAUGGUAGAUUCUCUUAUUGGAUGAUUUUAAGAAAAUGACUAAUGAACUGGGUUAAAUGUUAUUUUAUUUAAAAAUACAUAAGAAUAGAUCUUAACUACCUAGGAGAUCUAGCCAGCAUUGAAAGGGUUAUUCUAACUGUCUGCUAAAC
Pelobates cultripes (western spadefoot toad) is the source of this 2584-nucleotide non-coding RNA. NCBI's taxonomy places the organism in Eukaryota, Metazoa, Chordata, Amphibia, Anura, Pelobatidae. The record is from the annotation of a GenBank genome assembly.